This is a non-coding RNA of Zootermopsis nevadensis, 1348 nucleotides long. Lineage: Eukaryota; Metazoa; Arthropoda; Insecta; Blattodea; Termopsidae. The record is from RefSeq and is a predicted model, not a curated record.
CGUGGUCCGUCCAAUGGGAAAAAUUAUUCGGAUCGGUUGAGAACAAUGGGGCCAAUGGGAGUAGGGCCAGAGGGAGGGGGAACACAAGCAUAGCUCUGACAUGCAAGGGAGAAUUACAUAACGUAAAUCUUUCGACUGCAGUUUGAAGCACAUCAGUUGCCAACUAAAUAAGUUGAAAACCACGUUUGUUUGUAGUGUUGUGGGGAGAUCGUGGAUCUGUUAAAUCGAGUGAUGUAAGAAGAGUACCUAAUGUAGCAGCUGGCAUGUAAGUGUCAACUCGUUCAUCUGUUUCAAAGGGUCACUGUUCUCUCCAUUUUGACGUCACAGUAGCUGCUGCAUUGAAAUGGGUCAGCUGUACCGUAUCGGAAAAUCAUUAGCACCAGAUUAUCAGCUGAUAUUCAAGCAUGAAACACAGUCGAAGUGGCAGGUUUCACAUGGCAACGCCGAUGGUCGAACCAAGAAACCGGAGUUUCUGGACUGUAUAACGUCGGAUGAGAGGAUGGCAGUGAGUACUGAAGUGGAAGGAAGCGAUCGUGGUCUAUUUUAAGGUGCUAUCCCGGUAUUUGCCCGGAGUGACUGAGAAAUCUGUGUCAGUUUAACCGGCUUCCAGGCCGUGAUCUGAACUCGGACAACAAGAAUACAAAACAGGGGAGGUACAUACUCAACUUCGACCUUCGGUUAUGUUAUUAAAUUUGACAAACAAAAAUAUCACUGUAUGUUUAAUAAUGUGUUAUCGAACAAUAUUAUAUUUAAAAAUGACAAAUGUGGACAGUGCUCUAGUAUUUGACAUUAGAUUGAUUUUAUUUGAGAUGAGCUUUUAAUGGCCAUAUAUCGAUUUAAGUCUGCUCUUUUUAAGCCGCGUAGAUUUGUGACCAGCUACUAUAUUAUACGUUGUCACGACCCAGAAGAUCGUCAACAAAGUAAAUAGAUUUUAGUGUCUGUAUGCGUGCGUAAAGACACAAAACACAGCACGUACUCAUAAACGCACGCAAACUCGCACGCUCACACACUCAUACUCCUAUACGCACGUGCGCAUGCAAGCACACACACAUAUACAGACUAAAAUUUUAUUAGGCCAAACUCUUGAAUAAAGCCACCUUUUAUUCUUCACUCUGAUGAACACUUACUCCCUUCAAUUGUAUGUUUAAUUACAAUGUGGCAGUAAUUAAAUUUUUAAGAGAGUAAUUAAAUAUAGGCCUAUUAAAAUUUCUUAAUAAAUGAGUGAAAAUGUGUGUUUUCAUAUCAUACGUCUGUGUUAUGAUAUUUAGUACAGUUCCAACUGCAGUAUUAACUACAUUGUCUCUUAUUUAAUUAAAACGUUCCGUCCCGUUCUAUUUAGAUACACAUC